RNAcentral lists this ribosomal RNA (203 nucleotides) under Escherichia coli. Its description in RNAcentral is "partial 16S ribosomal RNA". It matches the Rfam family "Bacterial small subunit ribosomal RNA", at positions 1 to 211 of the family's 1533-position model. Lineage: Bacteria; Pseudomonadati; Pseudomonadota; Gammaproteobacteria; Enterobacterales; Enterobacteriaceae. The record is from RNAcentral.
AAAUUGAAGAGUUUGAUCAUGGCUCAGAUUGAACGCUGGCGGCAGGCCUAACACAUGCAAGUCGAACGGUAACAGAAAGCAGCUUGCUGCUUUGCUGACGAGUGGCGGACGGGUGAGUAAUGUCUGGGAAACUGCCUGAUGGAGGGGGAUAACUACUGGAAACGCUAGCUAAUACCGCAUAACGUCGCAAGACCAAAGAGGGG